This 26-nucleotide small nuclear RNA is filed under the name Arabidopsis thaliana (thale cress). RNAcentral describes it as "snRNA_13810". The record is from RNAcentral. Lineage: Eukaryota; Viridiplantae; Streptophyta; Magnoliopsida; Brassicales; Brassicaceae.
UCCCUUAGUAACGGCGAGCGAACCGG